Molecule: signal recognition particle RNA, 268 nt
Filed under: Gracilibacteraceae bacterium
Lineage: Bacteria; Bacillati; Bacillota; Clostridia; Eubacteriales; Gracilibacteraceae
Description: signal recognition particle sRNA large type
Rfam family: Bacterial large signal recognition particle RNA
About the family: The signal recognition particle (SRP) is a universally conserved ribonucleoprotein involved in the co-translational targeting of proteins to membranes. Archaeal SRP consists of a 7S RNA and homologues of the eukaryotic SRP19 and SRP54 proteins. In most bacteria, the SRP consists of a 4.5S RNA and the Ffh protein (a homologue of the eukaryotic SRP54 protein).
Source: RNAcentral
CCAUGCUACACGGGGAGAUAGCGGUUCCUUGUGGCCCGCAAUCCGCUACAGCGGGGUGGAAUCCCCUCCUGAGGGCCGGCUCUUUAGGGUCUGUCCACGUGUGCGGCGUGUUGACACUCUGGUCUCGCGCAACAGGCAGCUCCGAAUCGUGUCAGGUCUUGACGGAAGCAGCACUAAGGAGUUUGCUCUGUGUGCCGUGAGGGUGCUGGGGGAGAGCGCCGGCUCGUGGGUAACGCUUAGGGAUACCGGUUCGAGGGAGGGUGCAUGG